CACGUAGGGGGCGAGCGUUGUCCGGAUUUAUUGGGCGUAAAGAGCUCGUAGGCGGUUUGUCGCGUCUGCUGUGAAAACUGGAGGCUCAACCUCCAGCCUGCAGUGGGUACGGGCAGACUAGAGUGCGGUAGGGGAGAUUGGAAUUCCUGGUGUAGCGGUGGAAUGCGCAGAUAUCAGGAGGAACACCGAUGGCGAAGGCAGAUCUCUGGGCCGUAACUGACGCUGAGGAGCGAAAGCAUGGGGAGCGAACAGG
RNAcentral lists this ribosomal RNA (253 nucleotides) under uncultured bacterium. RNAcentral's name for it is "partial 16S ribosomal RNA". It matches the Rfam family "Bacterial small subunit ribosomal RNA", at positions 524 to 776 of the family's 1533-position model. The record is from RNAcentral.